RNAcentral lists this ribosomal RNA (423 nucleotides) under uncultured bacterium. RNAcentral describes it as "bacterial SSU rRNA". It matches the Rfam family "Bacterial small subunit ribosomal RNA", at positions 379 to 793 of the family's 1533-position model. The record is from RNAcentral.
AAGCCUGAUGCAGCCAUGCCGCGUGUAUGAAGAAGGCCUUCGGGUUGUAAAGUACUUUCAGCAGUGAGGAAGGUGGAUAUGUUAAUAGCAUAUUCAUUUGACGUUAGCUGCAGAAGAAGCACCGGCUAACUCCGUGCCAGCAGCCGCGGUAAUACGGAGGGUGCGAGCGUUAAUCGGAAUUACUGGGCGUAAAGCGCAUGCAGGUGGUUUGUUAAGUCAGAUGUGAAAGCCCGGGGCUCAACCUCGGAAUUGCAUUUGAAAACUGGCAAACUAGAGUACUGUAGAGGGGGUAGGAAUUUCAGGUGUAGCGGUGAAAUGCGUAGAGAUCUGAAGGAAUACCGGUGGCGAAGGCGGCCCCCUGGACAGAUACUGACACUCAGAUGCGAAAGCGUGGGGAGCAAACAGGAUUAGAUACCCUGGUAG